Ictalurus punctatus (channel catfish) is the source of this 738-nucleotide long non-coding RNA. The record is from Ensembl. NCBI's taxonomy places the organism in Eukaryota, Metazoa, Chordata, Actinopteri, Siluriformes, Ictaluridae.
UCUUACUGCGUGUGAAACCUUCUCUUCCUGCGAAAUCUGCAACUUCUGCUUUUGCAUUUCCUGCCAGAGGAAAAACACGUAACCGCUUCUCCAUAGCACGGUGCUGUUCAACUCUCGAAUCCGGAUGAUGCGCCCUGACACACUGCAAACAUUGUUCAGGAACGGUCUGAGGAACAUGACGAAGAGUUCAAGGUGUUGACUCCGAUCUCAGUCCGAUCAGGCCUCUGUGGGACGAGUCCGAUCCAUGGAGGCCCCACCUCACAACCUACGGGACUAGUUGUACAGGAUCUGCUGCUAACGUCUCUAUGCCAGAUACCACAGCACACCUUCAGAGGUCUUGUGGAGUCCGUGCCUCGACGGUUCUCAACAGGUUUUUUCACUCUGUCCUCAUCGAUGCCGUGGAAGCUGGAUUUCAGGAAUACGUUGGAAGAAAUUCCAUUUCGUUUCAGAUUUCGAUCGCAGGUUUUUGUAUUUCGCAAUCUUUCUAAUGUAAUUCUCCUCGCCGAGCCGACCGUUCUGAUGUACGACAUGCCUGCAGCGGUUUGGUGAUUACACUCGGUUUAUGGCCUGUUGUGUCCUGCUACUGAUUUCUCGAUGUGUGUACGGGGGAAAUCCGAGCGAUUUGAGGUAUCAUCCGUGUCUGUGAGUCAGAUGUGGGGCAGUGGUGGCCUUGGUGGUUAACGCUCCAGGUUACUGAUCGGGAAGUCGGGGGUUCGAGCCCCAGCACUGCCAAGCUGC